Non-coding RNA from Tetranychus urticae (two-spotted spider mite), 611 nucleotides. NCBI's taxonomy places the organism in Eukaryota, Metazoa, Arthropoda, Arachnida, Trombidiformes, Tetranychidae. The record is from RefSeq and is a predicted model, not a curated record.
CAAUUAGCUAAUUACCCCACCAACAUUGAGUUAAAUCCUCGGAAUUUGAUCUAUUGAGAUGGAUUAAUUUUUUUUGGAUUUGUGUCUUUAAGAGUUUCGUUAUUAGUUAACAAUAAUUCACCGUUUGACAUCCAAAGAGUAUUCAUCUAAUCUUGUGAAUUUUUGGAUGUUACCUUCGAUUAAAUUUUAUUUAUUUUUCAUCUAUUCUGUUGCAUGUACCUUACCAUGCAAUCCAUUAAAGAACUUUUGCUAUCCAAACACUUGGCCUUUUGAUUCUUCUCACGAAGAAAGAGCACUACAUUGGUUGAUAAUCUGAAAAUAACUAAUGCCUCCAUUGCACAGAAAAAGAAAUCGAUCUUCAGUUGUGUAUCCUGUAUUCGAGUAUGGACUCAGUCUCAAUCAAAAAGUGCUGUCGAGUGGCCUGAAAAUAGAUUUCAAAUUUCAGUUGGUUAUGAUAUUUAUUCAAUAAUCUGAGUAAUUUGCACUUGCAUGAAUGCAGGGCAUUACAGAUUUCACGAAUGAUUCAACUUGGAACAAGCUACAAGCUACUCAACACUGGAACUCAUAUUUCGACCUUAAAUUGUACUUGGAUUUUUCGAUUUGAUUUAACU